GACGAACGCUGGCGGCGUGCUUAACACAUGCAAGUCGAACGGAAAGGCCCUGCUUUUGUGGGGUGCUCGAGUGGCGAACGGGUGAGUAACACGUGAGUAACCUGCCCUUGACUUUGGGAUAACUUCAGGAAACUGGGGCUAAUACCGGAUAGGAGCUCCUGCUGCAUGGUGGGGGUUGGAAAGUUUCGGCGGUUGGGGAUGGACUCGCGGCUUAUCAGCUUGUUGGUGGGGUAGUGGCUUACCAAGGCUUUGACGGGUAGCCGGCCUGAGAGGGGGACCGGCCACAUUGGGACUGAGAUACGGCCCAGACUCCUACGGGAGGCAGCAGUGGGGAAUAUUGCACAAUGGGCGGAAGCCUGAUGCAGCAAAGCCGCGUGCGGGAUGACGGCCUUCGGGUUGUAAACCGCUUUCGCCUGUGACGAAGCGUGAGUGACGGUAAUGGGUAAAGAAGCACCGGCUAACUACGUG
Molecule: ribosomal RNA, 468 nt
Filed under: uncultured bacterium
Lineage: Bacteria
Description: partial 16S ribosomal RNA
Rfam family: Bacterial small subunit ribosomal RNA
Source: RNAcentral